UCGAUUAUAAUUUUUGAUUAUCAUUUUUAGGCUUAACUCAACGAGCUGUGUGUACGGGUGCCGAUUAUAGACGGCGUUCAGUGGCGUCACUCCAGCAGACCGGAUAAGAGAAGAGUCAAGUUUGAUAAAAGUACAGUUUUAAUUUCAUCGAGACUCGAAGGAUCGGUACAAAGUUGUUUGACAUUUCAGACAGUGGAGGCGUCGUUGUAAUGGCAUUUACUCGAACGAAGAGUAAAACGAAGUAAACUAAGGAAUACGAUCUACUUGAUGCGAGAUGUUAGAAGGCUAGUCUCUGAGUAACCUUACCAUUUUGCCGUGUGUGAGAGAGAUUCCUUUCCUCGAGGUCCAAAGAAUGAUGAUAUCUUGAUGUCUCGAGCACUGAGGUCUGUCAACUAUCGCACCAAAGUUAUCACUAUCGACGAUAAGAAGCAACUUUUCUCACGAAACGUGGAAAAAGACUGUUGAAAGUGAUUGAUCCGUUGGGAUUGCUCUGCAGCAGGUUUAUGUCCCACGGAACCAUCCUUCCAGCAUUUAUACGAAACAAUGACGUCAAACGGGAGCACGCUAAUCGUACAGUGACGUAUCACGGCAGGUGAUAAACGACCUGGUAAACUAGAAUGAUCGAUGGGAACUCCGAGCUACGUGCAUCCUCGAGCGUUGCAUCCGGUUGGAGCCUCUUGUUUUCCUCGAGUACCGCGAAAUUACGGUGGGGUUGUUAUUUUCGGAGACCGACAUUCGUUUGUCCUGGUAAAAGGCGCUAAAUUCCAGGUAACGUGUCCUUUAUGUCAAGGCUUCUUAAACUACGAGUCGCGACCCCAAACGGGGGUAUUAUAAAAUAUUUAAUAUUCUCUUUUAUUUGUGUUAUAGCAAAAAGUGCAGUUUUUAUGAAAAAUAGGGUAUUGUAAUAGGGUACGUAAUUUUAGGGUAUAUAAUAAACUAUAAUAAACACAAUUUCACAAGUUUUUGUGCAAUUUUUAAUAUGAUACUUUUGUAUGUUUUUAGACAAAUUCUAAAAUUGCAUUUUUUCAUAUGCAUACGCAUCGUUACUUAAUCCAUAAAUCAUCAGUACCUCAUCGGUAACUCUUUUAUCAUAGAAACUGGAAUUUGUUAUACUUUUAUUAUUAGUUUCACAGCGUAGAUCGAUCGGCGCUCGUAUUUUAAAGACGCGUACUUUUGAAAAUGAUACUUAUCGUGUAAAAUUCGCUAUCCUUUUGUAUGUCACCUUCAAUGUCAAGAACGGAUACAUGCAGGCCUUUUGUUUUCUUCGAAAGCGUGAAAAGGGAUGACGCGGUUCGCGAAUGACGCUCGGCGUCCGUUCCGCUAAAUAAUCAUUCACGUGGUCACAUCUCGGGUCACGCCUAAAUUUCGACCAUUUAUGUAGACAACAACGAUGCGCAGAACGUUUUCAAAAAUUACAGAAAUUCUAAUUCUUAAAGCAGAUAUUAUCGCAAAUUAAACGAAAUCGUCAACGGCGACAGAAUAAUAAUUGUUGAACUAUUUUUCGCAGGAUAUCGUCCGGCGUUUUGCGAUUGGUCAUUGGGCGACUUAUCGCGUACGGCGUUCCAUUAGCAGGGACCGUCUUCGUCGUGAAUCACUUCUGCAUUUACGCGGAAGAGGAUCGGUACGCGUUCGAAGGAAUUACGCAACGGGGCCACCGCAGCUACGCGCUUGAACGAUAUUUCUCUCGGAGGCUGUACUUGUUUACGCGCUGCACCCAGUCACGCGUCGAAGGAGUCACGCGUAGUUUAACUUGUGACUGGAAAACACGGUGAUUUAACGCGCUCGAGAUCGAGGACUCUGCGGACGAGCAAACGCGAUGCUACGAUCAAUUUAGCAGAUGACGCGGCCCGCAGAUCUUGGUAAAUUAACUGCUUCUGAGUUACUUUUACAUGGUUGCGAGACUAAAACUGAUUAAUUCGAAAUAUUCUGGUGUCGGGGAUGAAUUAUCGAAGCUUGAAGUGAUAUUUGUAAGUAAGUCGCUGUUUGCGAUACGGUAUUGUACCUCUUAAUCGGCGGGCGAUUUCAAAUAAAAAGAUGGGGAUAACGAGUUUCUUAUUUCGAGACAGAAAACAGUUUCGAGACGAUACUGUAGCGACUCUUCUUGGAAAGUAAAGGGAUAGGCUAUGAAUAAAGGCUACUAAUAAGA
Long non-coding RNA from Hylaeus volcanicus, 2146 nucleotides. RefSeq lists it as uncharacterized. The transcript is spliced from 2 exons. NCBI's taxonomy places the organism in Eukaryota, Metazoa, Arthropoda, Insecta, Hymenoptera, Colletidae. The record is from RefSeq and is a predicted model, not a curated record.